Molecule: ribosomal RNA, 585 nt
Filed under: uncultured bacterium
Lineage: Bacteria
Description: bacterial SSU rRNA
Rfam family: Bacterial small subunit ribosomal RNA
Source: RNAcentral
CCUACGGGAGGCAGCAGUGGGGAAUUUUGGACAAUGGGCGCAAGCCUGAUCCAGCAAUGCCGCGUGAGUGAAGAAGGCCUUCGGGUUGUAAAGCUCUUUUGUCAGGGAAGAAAAGGGAUUGGCUAAUAUCUGAUCCUCAUGACGGUACCUGAAGAAUAAGCACCGGCUAACUACGUGCCAGCAGCCGCGGUAAUACGUAGGGUGCAAGCGUUAAUCGGAAUUACUGGGCGUAAAGCGUGCGCAGGCGGUUUUGUAAGACUGUCGCGAAAUCCCCGGGCUUAACCUGGGAAUGGCGAUGGUGACUGCAAGGCUAGAGUUUGGCAGAGGGGGGUAGAAUUCCACGUGUAGCAGUGAAAUGCGUAGAUAUGUGGAGGAACACCGAUGGCGAAGGCAGCCCCCUGGGUCAAAACUGACGCUCAUGCACGAAAGCGUGGGGAGCAAACAGGAUUAGAUACCCUGGUAGUCCACGCCCUAAACGAUGUCUACUAGUUGUCGGGUCUUAAUUGACUUGGUAACGCAGCUAACGCGUGAAGUAGACCGCCUGGGGAGUACGGUCGCAAGAUUAAAACUCAAAUGAAUUGACGG